CACCCCUGCAAUGGGCAAAGAGACGCCUUGUUGGUGCUGGUGUUCUUACGUCAGUCAGGGGCAGAGCAGAUGGCAGUCCUUUGUUCAUUCUAGCUUGAUGCCUGGCCUGGUGGCCAAGCCUGUUUAUGCCUAGGACACAUAA
Small nucleolar RNA from Psammomys obesus (fat sand rat), 142 nucleotides. RefSeq annotates it as small nucleolar RNA SNORA48. The transcript has a single exon. NCBI's taxonomy places the organism in Eukaryota, Metazoa, Chordata, Mammalia, Rodentia, Muridae. The record is from RefSeq and is a predicted model, not a curated record.